UUUUUUCCAGAUUCUACCACACACAUUUUUUUUUUUUGUAAGUCCGAUCACUGUUCGUUAUUCUGGGAGAAUUUUCACCAGUAUUAUAAAAGGAGACUGCUACAAAAAUGUCCAAAACAACAAAUAGAAAACAGGUAGAGAUCUUAAUAAGCCUAAUGGAAGCUAAGCCGGACAUUGCUCGCGGCUUCCACAAGGGCAACAUAAAGGAAGUUUCCCGGUUUUGGCGGAACCCUGAGGUGGACCAAACUCCGCAGACCCACCCAAAAAAAAAAAAAAUACGACUGAGUGGAAAAAGGUGUGGACCGACAAAAAAAAUAUGUGCCUCAAAAGGCGGCGCAAAAUUUCAAGCAGCAAAGGCACGGGUGGUGGCCCAAACACCCAACAGAAACUUUCUUCCAAUGAGGAAACUAUAUAUAAACUGAUUGGGAUGAAGGAAAGUGUUGAAGGCAUACUAGGCGUCUACUUUUGGAAAUAGAGAUACAUGAAUCUCAAAUAAGUCCACUUGUCACGGUCGGUGAGCCAUCGCUUCCACCACCACCAGUAAAUGUAGUUUCAGAAAGGAGACCUACUGUAAAGAAGCCGAAAGCAUCCUCCGACCUUCUGGAAGCUGAACUAAAGACUCAGCAAGCCUUACUAGAAGCAGUUACUGGAGCAGUUACGACGUUAACCGAACAUCACGGAGAUAAAACUAAAAGUAAAAUUUUUACUAGCAGAAACUAGCAGCUGUCAAAAUGGAUAAAGAAAAUUUCGCGCGAAAUAUUUUCAAUAGUCAAAUAUACCGAUCAGCUAAUUACUUGCUAGUUUCUGCAAGUUUUGUGUUUCUUUACCUUUUCGUUAUUUCGCUCUCUGUGAGCGUAAUUCUUUCAAUUUUCUCAUUCUUCAUUUUCCUGAUAAUUAUCUAAAAAGAAAAUAAACAAAGCCCGUGUCAGCUGACACGUUCUCCGUUUUUACGUCCGUGGGUAACUGCGC
RNA transcript from Rhagoletis pomonella (apple maggot), 969 nucleotides. RefSeq lists it as uncharacterized. The record is from RefSeq and is a predicted model, not a curated record. The transcript has 3 exons. NCBI's taxonomy places the organism in Eukaryota, Metazoa, Arthropoda, Insecta, Diptera, Tephritidae.